AGAGUUUGAUCCUGGCUCAGAAUCAACGCUGGCGGCGUGCCUAACACAUGCAAGUCGAACGAGAAAGUGGAGCAAUCCAUGAGUAAAGUGGCGACCGGGUGAGUAACACGUGACUAACCUACCUUCGAGUGGGGGAUAACCUCGGGAAACCGAGGCUAAUACCGCAUAACAUCGCAAGAUCAAAGCAGCAAUGCGCUGGAAGAGGGGGUCGCGGCUGAUUAGCCAGUUGGCGGGGUAACGGCCCACCAAAGCGAAGAUCGGUAGCCGGCCUGAGAGGGCGCACGGCCACACUGGAACUGAAACACGGUCCAGACUCCUACGGGAGGCAGCAGUGGGGAAUUUUGCGCAAUGGGGGAAACCCUGACGCAGCAACGCCGCGUGGAGGAUGAAGCCCCUUGGGGCGUAAACUCCUUCGACCAAGACG
RNAcentral lists this ribosomal RNA (424 nucleotides) under uncultured bacterium. Its description in RNAcentral is "bacterial SSU rRNA". It matches the Rfam family "Bacterial small subunit ribosomal RNA", at positions 8 to 447 of the family's 1533-position model. The record is from RNAcentral.